CACCAUUCAGUUUUGAGUGAAGGUGGGCAUGUGGAAUCCCCACGGUCCGAGACCGUAUCCCUUCUAAGAGAUUCUUCUGCCUGCCCACCUGACAGGUCCCAACGGAUGUUUCUGUUACUCUUUAUGGUUCCGAGUAAGCCGCCAGAGGGAGCAGCCUGUCCCGAGCCCUGCCUCGCCCCCCGCUCAGAAAUCGCCCCCACUUUGUGUUUCUAGACUGAUGUAAGUGACGUCCAACACUAUUUGUUGGGCAGUGUUUUGCCAAGCUCUUUCCUGAGCGACUUCUUUACUGCUCAACAGAGAAGAGGAAGGAUACCAAGAACCUCUUGAGCUAGUAGGGAAUUAGUUUUGGCCAUAAGAAAUUAUCUUAAACGUGUUUAUUCGACACAUGGUUUCUCUGUGUGGCCCUGGCUGUUGGGAAUUCUUUAGACCAGACUGGCCUCAAACUGCCUGCUCUGCCUCCCUAGCGCUGGGAUUAAGGGAGGUUACCACCACACCUAGGCACUCUUUUGAACUUGAUAACAGACUGUAACCAACAAGGUAGGAUUUCUACUAGGGAGGGAAGAGAAACUACUGAAGCACCCCGAAAAGAAAAGGAACAAAGAGCGUGUAAUUAUGAGAUUCGGCACUCCAGAGGCAGAGGCAGGCAGAACUCUAUAUGCGGCUUGGUGUACACAAUUUCAUGCCAGACUGAGCUACGUAAGACCCUGACUCAAAAACACACCCUCCCCACCCAAGCCAGGAGGAUACUUGCAGUUUGGGAAGUCCGAAGCAGAAUCUCUUGAAUCCUUGGCAGUAUGAUGAGUUUCAGGCUCUUAUAAAGCCUUCGAGCCUGCUAGAGAGGCCCAGUUGGUACGAUAAUACUUAUUCACCAAGCUGGUCAUCGACGAGAGUGAGGAUAUCCUAGACGGAGCAAGAAUGGGCAGAGGCUGAAGAGCCGACUAUGAAGCCAUAGAAAAUUGAUUCUACAUAGCCUCUUUUACAAGGCGAUCUUUUUCUUUUUAACCUUAAAGUACAGGAAAAAUGAAAAGUGGACAAGAACACUUUGGAGAUAAUAUGCAUUGGCUCCUAGUGUCCAGAAAGACAUGCACGGAAAGAACGCAGAGUUAGCUAAAGAAAUACCACAGUUUAUUGAAGACUACAAAUAUUUUUUGUUACAAGUUGGAACUACAUGCCUUCCAGAAAUCAAAAGCAACAGCAGGCGUGUGCAUUGAUGCUUCGGAGGUGCUGCACCGCUCGAACUCGAAAUGGGUAAGACAGGGUCAGACACAUGGGGGAGAGGGAGAUGGGGAGGG
Myodes glareolus (Bank vole) is the source of this 1292-nucleotide long non-coding RNA. RefSeq lists it as uncharacterized. Lineage: Eukaryota; Metazoa; Chordata; Mammalia; Rodentia; Cricetidae. The record is from RefSeq and is a predicted model, not a curated record.